GGAAGUAAAAGUCGUAACAAGGUUUCCGUAGGUGAACCUGCGGAAGGAUCAUUAUCGUGUAACCGAGGUGCAAGGGCUGUCGCUGACCUUUCAAAGGUCGUGCACGCCCAAGCACACUCUCGCACAUCCAUCUCACCCCUUUUGUGCAUCACCGCGUAGGCCCCCCUUUGCAAGGAGGGCUUGCGUUUUCACAUAAAAACUUGAUACAGUAUAUAGAAUGUUCUUUUUUUAUUUUGCGGUCACACGCAAUCAAUACAACUUUCAACAACGGAUCUCUUGGCUCUCGCAUCGAUGAAGAACGCAGCGAAAUGCGAUACGUAAUGUGAAUUGCAGAAUUCAGUGAAUCAUCGAAUCUUUGAACGCACCUUGCGCCCCUUGGCAUUCCGAGGGGCACACCCGUUUGAGUGUCGUGAAAUCGUCAAAAACCCAUUUUCUUUGAAAAGGAUUUUUGGACUUGGAGGUUCCAUGCUCGCCUUUGCCUUUGAAGGUGAGCUCCUCUCAAAUAAAUUAGUGGGGUCCGCUUUGCUGAUCCUUAAUGUGAUAAGAUGUUUCUACAUUUUGGAUUUAGCACCGUCCCUCGGAUGCCUGCUCAUAACUGUCUUUUGGACAAUGAUGGUGCUCCGGUCAUCGCCAUCUACAUUGGCGGGAGGCUGGACCCACAAAAAAAAACCUUGACCUCAAAUCGGGUGAGACUACCCGCUGAACUUAAGCAUAUCAAUAAGCGGAGGAAAAGAAACUAACAAGGAUUCCCCUAGUAACUGCGAGUGAAGCGGGAAAAGCUCAAAUUUAAAAUCUGGUGGUCUUUGGCCAUCCGAGUUGUAAUUUAGAGAAGCGACUUCCGCGCUGGACCGUGUACAAAUCUCCU
Molecule: ribosomal RNA, 865 nt
Filed under: Russula sp. 6 ZWG-2011
Lineage: Eukaryota; Fungi; Basidiomycota; Agaricomycetes; Russulales; Russulaceae
Description: eukaryotic LSU rRNA
Rfam family: 5.8S ribosomal RNA (bases 257-410)
Source: RNAcentral